UACGGGGGGGGCAAGCGUUGUUCGGAAUUACUGGGCGUAAAGGGCUCGUAGGCGGCACGACAAGUCGGGAGUGAAAGCCCGGGGCUCAACCCCGGAGGGUCUCUCGAUACCGUCGAGCUAGAGUGCGGAAGAGGCAACCGGAAUUCUCAGUGUAGCGGUGAAAUGCGUAGAUAUUGAGAAGAACACCAGAGGCGAAGGCGGGUUGCUGGGCCGACACUGACGCUGAGGCGCGAAGGCCAGGGGAGCAAACGGG
RNAcentral lists this ribosomal RNA (253 nucleotides) under uncultured bacterium. RNAcentral's name for it is "partial 16S ribosomal RNA". It matches the Rfam family "Bacterial small subunit ribosomal RNA", at positions 524 to 776 of the family's 1533-position model. The record is from RNAcentral.